CCCUCUGACCCUCCCUCUCUUCCCCUGUUCAGAAAAGAGUUGUUGAGAAGGACAUUGAGGAUGUGGAUGGGCAGAAUGCGUUGGAGCAGGCCAGGGAUAAUAUUGUUGCGCUGGAAGACGCUCUCCGCAGGGCCAAGCAGGACAUGGCCCAUCAGGUCAGGGAGUACCAGGAACUGAUGAACCUCAAACUGGCCCUGGACAUCGAGAUCGCCACCUACAGGAAGCUACUGGGGGGAGAGGAGAUUAGAAUGAAUCACCAUAUACGUCAUCAAGAUUACUAAAACAAAUCGACCAAUCCCAGUUCUUGCUUACACGCAGACAUUGAUUUGCCUUCGAAGCCCCUCCUGACUCUGAAGCCCCUCCCAUUAGAUGCCGGUGGCCCCCCAACCAGCCCCAGGAAGCGUCUGCUGAUCAAAAUUGAGGUGGAGGCGGGCAGGGUCAUGUCCAAGAGCUUACACUACUCCGACAAUUAACCAAGUCCACCGUCACUCUGCUGUCGCUAUAGUAACACGGUGUUGUACCACUUUCUCUCUCUCUUUUCCAUCUAAAAAACAUUUGUUUUACAUUAAGGUCAUUGUUUAAUAAGCUACGGUUGUUAAAUCUACUAACUUUGUUUUCAACUGCAGUUCAAAGACCAUGUGCGACAGUAACAGGAGCUCUUACAAAAUGUGUCCUGUGCUCUUUUUCAUUACGUUUGUGGUGGGAGAAUUUAUCUGUGCUCUCUUGUGCUCAUGUGACUGGGAAGGCCAUGUCCUCCAAAGCUUGAAUGUCACUGAACCAGGUCCAAAAUAAAAAGAGAAAAUAUUAAGGA
Molecule: long non-coding RNA, 811 nt
Organism: Oncorhynchus tshawytscha (Chinook salmon)
Lineage: Eukaryota; Metazoa; Chordata; Actinopteri; Salmoniformes; Salmonidae
Exons: 3
Source: RefSeq, a predicted model, not a curated record